UACAGAGGUGGCAAGCGUUGUUCGGAAUUACUGGGCGUAAAGGGCGCGUAGGCGGCCUUCUAAGUCAGACGUGAAAUCCCCCGGCUUAACCUGGGAACUGCGUCUGAUACUGGGAGGCUUGAGUAUGGGAGAGGGAUGUAGAAUUCCAGGUGUAGCGGUGAAAUGCGUAGAUAUCUGGAGGAAUACCGGUGGCGAAGGCGGCAUCCUGGACCAUAACUGACGCUGAGGCACGAAAGCGUGGGGAGCAAACAGG
This 253-nucleotide ribosomal RNA is filed under the name uncultured bacterium. Its description in RNAcentral is "partial 16S ribosomal RNA". It matches the Rfam family "Bacterial small subunit ribosomal RNA", at positions 524 to 776 of the family's 1533-position model. The record is from RNAcentral.